RNAcentral lists this non-coding RNA (24 nucleotides) under Arabidopsis thaliana (thale cress). Lineage: Eukaryota; Viridiplantae; Streptophyta; Magnoliopsida; Brassicales; Brassicaceae. The record is from RNAcentral.
CAACUCAACUCAACCCAUGAACCC